GCCCAACACAGGGCUCAAACUCAUGAACCGUGAGGUCACGACCUGAGCUGAAGUCCAAUGCUUCGCUUAAUUGACUGAGCCACCCAGGCGCCCCAGGAGAGAGGUUAUGCUGACUUUUGAACCAAAUGCACAAUCUUGCUACCCAAGCUGCAGGGACCUUGGGGAAUAACUGAUGCUUUUCCUUCCUUCCUCUAGCAAGUUCUUCAUAGCUUGUGCCAAUCACUUGGAUGUCUCAUUUCCUUCAAUUUAUGUGUUCGAUAUUAGUAGAACAGAUUUCCAAGAUAUGGUACACUGAAAAUAAAACAUUUAUGAAGCAAAAUGGUGCUGUGCUUCCUUCUACACGGACAAUCGUGUGGGAAUGAAAUUCAGUCUAGAACAAACAUUUCCACAAAUGGUAAAUAAUAAUUCCUCUAAAUUCUCUCUUUUGAAAGUAAGUGACCAUCUCAACCUUCGGGCUGAUGUCCAAGCCCCUACAGUUUCUGGACUCCCACAAGAAAGAGUUCCAACCUUGCCUCCAUGAAGACCGCAUGCUCUUUUGAGCUGCUGUAUGGUUGCUAUCGAUAAUUUGGCCACCCGCUUUAUUCUCAGAUGGCUGGGGCAGGUGCAUAUCGUUCUAGAUGCUACUGUUACAGCCUUAAAGAGGUAAGUUUGGGUGUCACAGGGCAGGAGUGAAGUGCCGCAAGGGAAGAACUACACCUUGGGAUCUCUCGUCCUGAUGUUGAUGCCCCAACUGAGCUUCAAGGAUUGAAGAGUGGAAAGUAGAAUUCUGCCUUGUCCCGUGUUUCUCAGGCAUCUUUCAUGUUCACUGUGGGAAGAAGGGCAAGAAUGGACUGCGGGAGAUUUAAAAGAAUUGAUUUCUCAAAUCCACACAAUGUCAUCGCUUAUUCCAAAGCACAGUAAGAGGAAUUUUAAGUGUUGAAAUAUUUUGAUGUACAACCGAAGCCACAGAUGUAUCCAAGCCCCUGAAGUAUUUUUUUCGGGGCGGGGGGCAGUGAGGACUAGAUUUUGGGAUUCAGCUGUGUUCUUUACCACCUUCCCUUUAGUGAUCUGCACUGGCAAUGGUUGAUUUUGUUUAUCUGUGUGAGGCUCUGUCAGUUAAAGUUUCUAAUGGUAUGAGGUCCAUGAAUAAAGUACUUUUGGCAUUCA
This is a long non-coding RNA of Leopardus geoffroyi (Geoffroy's cat), 1146 nucleotides long. RefSeq lists it as uncharacterized. NCBI's taxonomy places the organism in Eukaryota, Metazoa, Chordata, Mammalia, Carnivora, Felidae. The record is from RefSeq and is a predicted model, not a curated record. The transcript is spliced from 2 exons.